RNAcentral lists this ribosomal RNA (463 nucleotides) under Vreelandella stevensii. Its description in RNAcentral is "partial 16S ribosomal RNA". It matches the Rfam family "Bacterial small subunit ribosomal RNA", at positions 339 to 795 of the family's 1533-position model. The record is from RNAcentral. Lineage: Bacteria; Pseudomonadati; Pseudomonadota; Gammaproteobacteria; Oceanospirillales; Halomonadaceae.
CUACGGGGGGCUGCAGUGGGGAAUAUUGGACAAUGGGCGAAAGCCUGAUCCAGCCAUGCCGCGUGUGUGAAGAAGGCCUUCGGGUUGGAAAGCACUUUCAGUGGGGAAGAAAGCCUUGGGGCUAAUACCCUCGAGGAAGGACAUCACCCACAGAAGAAGCACCGGCUACUCCGUGCCAGCAGCCGCGGUAAUACGGAGGGUGCGAGCGUUAAUCGGAAUUACUGGGCGUAAAGCGCGCGUAGGCGGUCUGAUAAGCCGGUUGUGAAAGCCCCGGGCUCAACCUGGGAACGGCAUCCGGAACUGUCAGGCUAGAGUGCAGGAGAGGAAGGUAGAAUUCCCGGUGUAGCGGUGAAAUGCGUAGAGAUCGGGAGGAAUACCAGUGGCGAAGGCGGCCUUCUGGACUGACACUGACGCUGAGGUGCGAAAGCGUGGGUAGCAAACAGGAUUAGAUACCCUAGUAGUC